Molecule: long non-coding RNA, 1356 nt
Filed under: Struthio camelus australis
Lineage: Eukaryota; Metazoa; Chordata; Aves; Struthioniformes; Struthionidae
Description: lncRNA (ENSSCUG00000003413.1)
Source: RNAcentral
CUUUGCCCCCGGCCGUGCUGCCAAUCUGUCCUUGACCACCUCAGCGGGGAACCAUUCCAAGAAUACCUAAACAGCAUGUACUUCGACAGGUUUCUGCAGUGGAAGUGGUUGGAAAGGCAACCAGUAACGAAAAACACAUUUAGGCAGUACAGGGUACUGGGGAAAGGUGGCUUUGGGGAGGUCUGCGCUUGCCAAGUCCGAGCAACAGGGAAGAUGUAUGCCUGCAAAAGAUUAGAGAAGAAGAGAAUAAAAAAGAGGAAAGGCGAAUCCAUGGCACUAAAUGAAAAGCAGAUUUUAGAAAAAGUCAAUAGUCAGUUUGUAGUCAAUUUAGCCUAUGCCUACGAAACAAAGGAUGCACUGUGUUUAGUUCUGACCAUAAUGAAUGGGGGUGACUUGAAGUUUCAUAUCUACAAUAUGGGAAACCCAGGCUUUGAGGAAGAACGAGCUUUGUUUUAUGCGGCAGAGAUUCUUUGUGGCUUAGAAGACCUACACAGAGAAAAUACUGUAUACAGAGAUUUGAAGCCAGAAAAUAUCCUACUAGAUGAUUAUGGUCAUAUUAGAAUAUCUGAUUUGGGUCUAGCUGUUAAAAUUCCUGAGGGUGAAUCAAUCCGUGGAAGGGUAGGAACAGUAGGGUAUAUGGCCCCAGAAGUGUUGAACAACCAGAGAUACACGCUCAGCCCUGACUACUGGGGGCUAGGCUGUCUCAUUUAUGAAAUGAUUGCUGGGCAAUCACCAUUUCGUGGAAGGAAAGAGAAAGUGAAGAGGGAAGAAGUGGACAGGAGAGUGCUGGAGACGGAAGAAGUGUACUCCCAUAAGUUUUCUGAGGAGGCCAAGUCCAUCUGUAAAAUGCUCCUCACCAAAGAUUUGAAGCAGCGACUGGGAUGUCAAGGGGAAGGUGCAGCAGAAGUGAAGAGACACCCCUUUUUCAAGAGCAUGAAUUUCAAGCGGUUAGAAGCAGGAAUGCUGGAUCCUCCCUUUGUCCCUGAUCCCAGAGCAGUAUAUUGCAAGGAUGUGUUAGACAUCGAGCAGUUCUCCACAGUGAAAGGAGUAAACCUGGACCAAACAGAUGAUGAUUUCUAUUCCAAGUUUUCCACAGGAUCAGUCUCUAUUCCAUGGCAAAAUGAGAUGAUAGAAACAGAGUGUUUCAAAGAACUAAAUGUGUUUGGACCAAAUGGUACUAUUUCACCAGACCUAAAUAAAAGCUACCCCCCAGAGCCACCCAAGAAAGGAUUGCUACAGAGAAUAUUUAAACGACAGCAUCAGAACAAUUCAAAGAGUUCUCCAAAUUCAAAGGCCAGUUUAAAUCACCACAUAAAUUCAAAUCAUGUAAGUUCAAACUCCACUGGAAGCAGCUAG